CUACAAUGGACGGUACAAUAGGUAGCAAUGGAGCGAUUCGGAGCUAAUCCAAAAAGCCGUUCUCAGUUCGGAUUGCAGGCUGAAACCCGCCUGCAUGAAGUCGGAGUUGCUAGUAACCGCAAGUCAGCAAAUUGCGGUGAAUACGUUCUCGGGCCUU
This 157-nucleotide ribosomal RNA is filed under the name uncultured Dehalococcoidia bacterium. RNAcentral's name for it is "partial 16S ribosomal RNA". It matches the Rfam family "Bacterial small subunit ribosomal RNA", at positions 1225 to 1382 of the family's 1533-position model. Lineage: Bacteria; Bacillati; Chloroflexota; Dehalococcoidia. The record is from RNAcentral.